CCCUUCUUUUUCUCUUCUUGGUGGUUAAUUUGCAUCCUUUCUCUUUUCUUAUGGUUGGACCUUAUCAGGGUGACCACUGGAUCCCACCCCACCCUCAAGCAGGUGGGGAGGAGAGUGGGUAUUGAUUUGGGCUCAGACUGAGUCUAAGGAACUUUAUUUAGCCCACCAAGCAGAAGUCCAGUGUUACUCACACACCUUCAUGUAAAGCCAUGCACUUCCUCAGAGCUCCAUCAUUUUCAUUCCUCUUCUUUCCCCUCACCCCAUGCCUGGGAGUUUAACCAAGAUUACGGAAAUCUUUUUAGGGAUCAGAAACUGAACAUAAUGAAGCCACUUCGACUUCAGGAAGAGUGAUCUGUGGGAUCUAAUAGUAGCUGAGCUAACCUUAUUAGAAAGUAUUUUCUCUCUCAAACACACCAAGUCAACUCACAAAAUACUAUUAAUAUGUAUAUUUUCAACUCCUAUUCCUACAAUAGUCACAAACUUACAAAUCAACUGAUGCUUUUCUUGUGAUCUUUUUCCCUCUAAUAUACACACACACACACACAAAUCACUUUUUAAAAAAUAUUUCUCUUCCAUCCA
RNAcentral lists this long non-coding RNA (579 nucleotides) under Bos taurus (domestic cattle). RNAcentral describes it as "long non-coding RNA NONBTAT000866". Lineage: Eukaryota; Metazoa; Chordata; Mammalia; Artiodactyla; Bovidae. The record is from RNAcentral.